UACGGAGGGUGCGAGCGUUAAUCGGAAUUACUGGGCGUAAAGCGCGCGUAGGCGGCUUUGCAAGUCGGGUGUGAAAUCCCCAGGCUUAACCUGGGAACUGCAUUCGAGACUGCAUUGCUAGAGUAUGGGAGAGGGAAGUGGAAUUUACGGUGUAGCGGUGAAAUGCGUAGAUAUCGGAAGGAACAUCAGUGGCGAAAGCGACUUCCUGGACAAAUACUGACGCUCAUGUGCGAAAGCGUGGGGAGCAAACAGG
This 253-nucleotide ribosomal RNA is filed under the name uncultured bacterium. RNAcentral describes it as "partial 16S ribosomal RNA". It matches the Rfam family "Bacterial small subunit ribosomal RNA", at positions 524 to 776 of the family's 1533-position model. The record is from RNAcentral.